UACGGGGGGGGCAAGCGUUGUUCGGAAUUACUGGGCGUAAAGGGCUCGUAGGCGGCCAACUAAGUCGGAUGUGAAAUCCCCAGGCUCAACUUGGGAACUGCAUCCGAUACUGGAUGGCUUGAGUUCGGGAGAGGGAUGCAGAAUUCCAGGUGUAGCGGUGAAAUGCGUAGAUAUCUGGAGGAAUACCGGUGGCGAAGGCGGCAUCCUGGACCGACAUUGACGCUGAGGAGCGAAAGCUAGGGGAGCAAACGGG
This 253-nucleotide ribosomal RNA is filed under the name uncultured bacterium. RNAcentral's name for it is "partial 16S ribosomal RNA". It matches the Rfam family "Bacterial small subunit ribosomal RNA", at positions 524 to 776 of the family's 1533-position model. The record is from RNAcentral.